Molecule: ribosomal RNA, 253 nt
Filed under: uncultured bacterium
Lineage: Bacteria
Description: partial 16S ribosomal RNA
Rfam family: Bacterial small subunit ribosomal RNA
Source: RNAcentral
UACGUAGGUGGCAAGCGUUGUCCGGAUUUACUGGGCGUAAAGGGUGCGCAGGCCGCGCGGGCAGUCAAAUGUGUAAUCCAGGGGCUCAACCCCUGAACUGCGCUUGAUACUUCCGCGCCCGAGCUUUGGAGAGGAGUCUGGAAUUCUCGGUGUAGCAGUGAAAUGCGUGGAUAUCGAGAAGAACACUUAGGGCGUAGGCAAGACUCUGGACAAAUGCUGACGCUCAUGCACGAAGGCUAGGGUAGCGAACGGG